UACGUAGGGGGCAAGCGUUGUUCGGAAUCAUUGGGCGUAAAGGGCGUGUAGGCGGUAUGUUAAGUCCGCUGUGAAAGUCGGGGGCUCAACCCUCGAAUGCCGGUGGAUACUGUCGGGCUAGAGUGCGGAAGAGGCGAGUGGAAUUCCUGGUGUAGCGGUGAAAUGCGCAGAUAUCAGGAGGAACACCAAUUGCGAAGGCAGCUCGCUGGGACGUUACUGACGCUGAGACGCGAAAGCGUGGGGAGCAAACAGG
This 253-nucleotide ribosomal RNA is filed under the name uncultured bacterium. RNAcentral's name for it is "partial 16S ribosomal RNA". It matches the Rfam family "Bacterial small subunit ribosomal RNA", at positions 524 to 776 of the family's 1533-position model. The record is from RNAcentral.